Molecule: non-coding RNA, 209 nt
Organism: Labrus bergylta (ballan wrasse)
Lineage: Eukaryota; Metazoa; Chordata; Actinopteri; Labriformes; Labridae
Source: RefSeq, a predicted model, not a curated record
GAUCAAAGAAGAACCAAAGCCUCAGCCUGCACAGUGGUUUAGUGGGAUCAGUGAGCUGGUAAAUAACGUCCUUCAACCACAGCAAAAGUCCCAAAAUGACAAGCAGCCAGAGCCAGACGCGAAGUUGCACCAGCAGUUUGAGUCAUAUAAGGACCAGGUUAAGAAGAUGGGAGACGAGACAAAGCCGGUCCAGGACCAGAAGAGUGAAG